This 470-nucleotide ribosomal RNA is filed under the name uncultured bacterium. RNAcentral's name for it is "bacterial SSU rRNA". It matches the Rfam family "Bacterial small subunit ribosomal RNA", at positions 29 to 479 of the family's 1533-position model. The record is from RNAcentral.
ACGAACGCUGGCGGCGUGGAUAAGACAUGCAAGUCGAGCGAAGUAUCCUGGGUAGCAAUAUUUGGGAUGCUUAGCGGCGCAAGGGUGCGUAACACGUGGGCAAUCUGCCCUGAAGCCUGGGAUAACUCCGAGAAAUCGGAGCUAAUACCGGAUGUGACUGCUGAGAGGCAUCUCUUGGCAUUCAAAGUUGGGGACCGAAAGGCCUGACACUUCAGGAUGAGCCCGCGGCCUAUCAGCUAGUUGGUGAGGUAGCGGCUCACCAAGGCUAAGACGGGUAGCUGGUCUGAGAGGACGACCAGCCUCACUGGAACUGAGACACGGUCCAGACACCUACGGGUGGCAGCAGUCGAGAAUUUUCACAAUGGGCGAAAGCCUGAUGGAGCGACGCGCGUGGGGAUGAAUGGCUUCGGCCGUAACCCCUGUCAUUCGCGAACAACCUCACCAUUUAAAGAUAGUGAGCUGAUUGUAGC